GGGAAGAACAGCUAUGGUGACUGGAGGGCCCAAAGCCUGAAGACAGAUGGUGGGUGGGAGGAUGGGAGUGGGAUCAGGGGUCUUGGAGAAAGGGUUCACGAGAAUGCCUGGGAUAAGGGAGAGGUAUGGAGGGAUCUCCUUCACUGGAGCCAUAUCCCAAUGUCUUUUGGGACAGCAAGGGCCAGUUAUCUUUUGUUACAAGAGAUCAAUUGUCCUGAAAAAUGCCAGUCAACCAGUAACAGGAAUAUGGGAACCACACAGCAGAAUGACCCCAGGGGUGGGAUGUGGGUGAACCCUGAAGCCCCUUUUAUUCUAAAGCCAGAGUGCUGGUUCCUGCUCUUUAAAGUCCAAAAGGAGGUGGGAGAGUGUGGCAUAUAUCUUAUGGCAGACCCGGGCCCCCUCCAGGAGUACCCCAUCUCCAUCCCUGGAUGCUUCUGGAAAUUCAGCAGGGCUUCAUGCCAGGAGGAGACUGCUGACCUUCAGGCAAUGUCCAUCCACUGGGGAUGACCUGCUCCUCCCCCAGAGGCACCCCUGUGCGCACCCUGGUUUAGCCCAAAGCUGUGUCUGUGGGGACUGGUGACAACAUUCCGAGCUUCUUCCCUCACUGUUUUUUGUCAGUGAGGGUCAGAUGAGGUGGAGGAGUAGGUUGUUCCUAGUAGGCUGGGACCCCAGAAUGAGCCACAAAACUUAUGUAACAAUAAAAUAUAUUCCCAAUGCUUCCUUCAGAGGGUGUCUUACAGAGAGCAGUUGCUUUCUCAACCGUGUCAGACGGCAGUCCUGGAAGAAGUCAGACCAUCUUUAUUCACGGACAGCAAGAUCAGCUCCAUAAAAAGUCCUCCUGAAUCUUCCAAAAAGCUACGAGGUCCAAGAAGUCAGUUUCGUAAGAUUACAACAAAUAAGAUCAAUCUACCCAAACUGUUUUCCUAUACUAGCAACACACAACAAAAAAAUUGGAAAUUUAAAAUACAACUUAUAUGGCAUAAAACUAUGAAACACUUAGUUUGAAUUUUGACAAAAGAGAUACAAGGUCUGUACAUGGAAAGCAAUUAAUACUGCAGGGACAUUAAAGAAGACAGAAAGGGAGAGAUACCACAUUCAUGGGCCACAAGAUUUGAUAUGGGUGUUAAGCUGUUUUCCCCAAAUUAAUCUAUGGAUUUAAUGCAAUGCCAAUCGAAACCUCAGUGACCUUUCUGUAAAAGUUGACCAGCUGGAGCUGGGGGUGUUGCCUAGGGAGGCCCUUGGUCUGAUCUCUAGCAUUGCCAAAAACAAAUACCCGCAGACUGACAAGCUGAUAGCGAAACUGAUACAGAAAUACAAAAGACAUAAAAUAUCCAAAAUAAUUUAGAAAAAGAACAACGCUGUAGGACCAACCUUAUCUUAUUUCCAGACUCAUCAUCACAAAGCUAUAGGAACCAAGACAGUGGAAUUGGUGCCAAGAUAGAUCAAAGGAACAGAGCAGAGAAUCCAGGAACAGGAGAUAUGGACAACUGCACUUCAACAGUGGUGCAGAGUCAACUGGGGGUGGGGUGGGGAUCUUUUCAUCAAGUGUGCUAGAACCAUUGCAUACUAAUCUGCAAAAAAGUGAACUGUGAUCAGCAAGUCCCCUCAUGGACAGAAACUAACUCCAUCUGUGAUACUCAGAAGUACAGUAUAUACUUGGUUUUCCUCUUAUUUCAUGACUCACAGCUCCCAAAACCCUGGGAACCUCCAGAGUGAUGUCUUUCAUAUACUAAUUAGAUGACUGGUCUCUGAGGACCCUUAGAUAGCUUUAGGGUACAGAAUUGUCACCAGAAAGACCCAGGCCUGUUUAAAGAGUUGAAACCUUUAAUCCCACACCUCUAAGGAGGGGAAAGAGGCUGAAGGUUGAGUUGAUCACUAAUGGCCAAGGAUGCAGCAAUCAUGCCUAGUAAUGACCCCUCAUAAAACCCCAGACAGGCUAGGUGUGGGGAGCUUCUAGAUAGCCGAACCCACGGAGGACACCCAGAGAGAGCAGGGAGGCUCCCCCUCUUUCCCACAUGCCCUGCCCUCGUCAUCUCUUCCAUCUGGACUGUUGAUCUGCACCCUUCUUUAUAAUAUAUAGAAGGGUAAAUAUAUGAAAAGCAUUCUUUAUAAUAUAUGGGUAAAUAUAUGAAAAGCAUUUCCCCGAGGGCUGUGAGCCAUCCUGGCAAGGCAACUGAUCCCAGGAUCCCACACAUCUGGCAUCAGAAGUGUUGAGUGGCGUGUGAGAGGAGGAAUGAGCUGUUUUCCCCUCUAGAUCACAGACCUAAAUGUAGCUGUGAAAAUUCUAGAAGAAAACACAGGAGGAAAACCUUUGGACAUUAUGUGAGGCAAAAAGUUCUGAGAUGCAGAUUUAACUUUAAAAAAAAAAUAAAUCGUACAUAUUGUUAAAUUGGACUUAAUUGAGAUUUUUUUUUGUUCUUUCAAAGGUGCUAUUAAAAGAAUGAUAGGUCACAGGUUGGGAGAAAAUAUUUGCAAAUCAUAUAUCUGAUAAAGGACUUAUAUUCAGAAUAUGAAUAUAUAUAUAUAUAUAUAUAUACACAUACAUAUACAUAUACAUAUAUAUGCAUAUAUAUUUUAAAAUAUAUAUAUAUUUCAAGAAUAAGAAACAACAAAAUAGAGGCUGGGGUUGUGGCUCAGUGGUAGAGCACUUGCCUAGCAUGUGUGAGGCACUGGGUUUGAUCCUCAGCACCACAUAUAAAUAAAUGAAUAAAAUAAAAGUCUAUCAACAUCUUAAAAAAUUAAAACAAAAGAAACAACAAAAUGAAAAUGUACAGAAGAUAUAAUAGAUACUUUACCAAGAAGAUAGAUGGCAAAUAAGCAUAUGGAAAGAAACCUGAACUCUCAUUAGUCAUUAAGGAAAUGCAGGUGAAAACCACAAUGAGCUACCACUGCCCGCCCAUUAGUUUGGCUAAAAUGAAAAAGGCUGACCCUACCGAGGCUGGAGGAGGACGUGGGGUUCUCAUGUAGUGCUGGGGGACAUGUGUAAUGGUACACCUCCCUUGGAAGACAGGGUAGCAAGAGAAGGAGUGAACCCUAAUCCCAUCUGACCCCGAUCUUCCUCUCCCAGGUGUUUGCUCAAGAGAAAGGAAAGCAUAUGUCCAUGCAGACUGUUCACAGAUGUCUUUGGCUGCUUGAUUUCUAAGAGCCCCAAACUAGAAACAAGCCAUCCAUCCAUCAGCCGGUCAAUUAAGAGACAUCAGUGGUGGUUUUUACCCAUACACAUGUCAAGACUCAGCCAGUUGAUACCUUCAGCAUGUGCAAUUUAUCAUAUGCUAGUUGCACCUUGGUAAACAACUGCAAUUUGAGACAAAAAAAGAAAAAAGAAAGAAAGAAAGAAUGGGCAGGUGCGAUGUAGGAUACUGGAUAGGAUUCUGGAAAGAAAUUAUGGGGUUAAAGCUGGUGAAAUUCAGAUACGGUCAGUGGUUUAGUUGACAAUGUUAUGCAAUGUGAAUUUGUGGGUUUUGAUAAUUUUGCUGUGAUCAUGUAGCCAGUGUGAACAUUAGGAGAGAGUGGGGGAGAGGGGAU
RNAcentral lists this long non-coding RNA (3525 nucleotides) under Marmota monax (woodchuck). The stretch from base 2623 to 2691 matches the Rfam family "tRNA". The record is from RNAcentral. Lineage: Eukaryota; Metazoa; Chordata; Mammalia; Rodentia; Sciuridae.